Heterocephalus glaber (naked mole-rat) is the source of this 617-nucleotide long non-coding RNA. The record is from Ensembl. Lineage: Eukaryota; Metazoa; Chordata; Mammalia; Rodentia; Bathyergidae.
ACUCAAAGCCUACCCAAGAUGACAAUGCCUGCUGCCUAUCAAGGGCCUUUAGAUGACCCUCUGUAGAGUAACUCUGACUGCUGAUCACAACUAUGACCCUCUCCAGCUGGAAGUAGCCAGAACAGUCUUCGCCCUUUGCCCUCUCACAGCAUUUAGGGGUCCUUCUUCAGAGGGAGAAAUAUUGCAGAUAGCAUACACCUAUGCUGUGUGUCCCAGAGGGAUCAGACGCAGGCUCUGUUCUCAGUCUGCUCCCGCCCAUUUUGAUGGCCAGCUUCCAGUCUUCAGGGUGUCUCCUGUCGAAGCCCAGCUGUCCCCUGCAAGAGGAGUGCCGAGGUGCUGCCGUCCACGUCAGAGAACUCGCUCCACGAAUCCAUCAUCAUUUUGCAUUUUGGGGUUCCCACCAGCUCUCGGUCCUUGUCUGCAUGUGUUCUAUAAAGGCAUGUGCCACACCUUCAACUGGGCCGCACCUCUGCACAGUGCCUGCAGUGACAGCCUUGGGGCACAACUCUGCUCCUGGCAGGGCCUGUGAUCUGGUCACCUGUCACCAGAGUCUGUAUCCAGUCAGUGUAAUGGUCACAGGCUGUUCACGAGAACAUGUAUAAAACACAAAAUUCCCA